GACGAACGCUGGCGGCGCGCCUAACACAUGCAAGUCGAACGGAGCUUAGAGAGCUUGCUUUUUAAGCUUAGUGGCGAACGGGUGAGUAACGCGUGAGUAACCUGCCCUAGAGUGGGGGACAACAGUUGGAAACGACUGCUAAUACCGCAUAAGCCCACGGUACCGCAUGGUACUGAGGGAAAAGGAUUUAUUCGCUUUAGGAUGGACUCGCGUCCAAUUAGCUAGUUGGUGAGGUAACGGCCCACCAAGGCGACGAUUGGUAGCCGGACUGAGAGGUUGAACGGCCACAUUGGGACUGAGACACGGCCCAGACUCCUACGGGAGGCAGCAGUGGGGGAUAUUGCACAAUGGGGGAAACCCUGAUGCAGCGACGCCGCGUGGAGGAAGAAGGUUUUCGGAUUGUAAACUCCUGUCGUUAGGGACGAUAAUGACGGU
RNAcentral lists this ribosomal RNA (435 nucleotides) under uncultured bacterium. Its description in RNAcentral is "bacterial SSU rRNA". It matches the Rfam family "Bacterial small subunit ribosomal RNA", at positions 28 to 458 of the family's 1533-position model. The record is from RNAcentral.